RNAcentral lists this ribosomal RNA (408 nucleotides) under uncultured bacterium. Its description in RNAcentral is "partial 16S ribosomal RNA". It matches the Rfam family "Bacterial small subunit ribosomal RNA", at positions 28 to 526 of the family's 1533-position model. The record is from RNAcentral.
GACGAACGCUGGCGGCGUGCUUAACACAUGCAAGUCGAACGAAGUGGCGCACGGGUGAGUAACGCGUAAUCAACCUGCCCUUCAGAGGGGGACAACAGUUGGAAACGACUGCUACUCCCGCAUACUGAAGAGGGGGAUUGCGGCUGAUUAGCUGGUUGGAGGGGUAACGGGCCACCAAGGCGAUGAGCAGGAGCCUGGCUGAGAGGAUGAACCGCCAAAGUGGGACUGAGACACCGCCCAGACUCCUACGGGGGGCAGCAGUGGGGAAUCUUCCGCAAUUGACGAAAGUCUGACGGAGCAACGCCGCGUGAGUGAUGACGGCCUUCGGGUUGUAAAGCUCUGUUAAUCGGGACGCGGUACCGGAAUAGAAAGCCACGGCUAACUACGUGCCAGCAGCCGCGGUAAUAC